RNAcentral lists this ribosomal RNA (210 nucleotides) under uncultured bacterium. RNAcentral's name for it is "partial 16S ribosomal RNA". It matches the Rfam family "Bacterial small subunit ribosomal RNA", at positions 524 to 731 of the family's 1533-position model. The record is from RNAcentral.
UACGAGGGGGGCAAGCGUUGUUCGGAAUUAUUGGGCGUAAAGGGCGCGUAGGCGGUGCGGUAAGACUGUGGUGAAAUCUUCGGGCUCAACUCGAAGCCUGCCGCGGUGACUGCCGUGCUCGAGUGUGGGAGAGGUGAGUGGAAUUCCCGGUGUAGCGGUGAAAUGCGUAGAUAUCGGGGAGGAACACCUGUGGCGAAAAGCGGCUCACUG